Molecule: ribosomal RNA, 492 nt
Filed under: uncultured bacterium
Lineage: Bacteria
Description: partial 16S ribosomal RNA
Rfam family: Bacterial small subunit ribosomal RNA
Source: RNAcentral
AGUGAACGCUGGCGGUAGGCCUAACACAUGCAAGUCGAACGGCAGCACAGUAAGAGCUUGCUCUUACGGGUGGCGAGUGGCGGACGGGUGAGGAAUACAUCGGAAUCUACUUUUUCGUGGGGGAUAACGUAGGGAAACUUACGCUAAUACCGCAUACGACCUACGGGUGAAAGCAGGGGAUCUUCGGACCUUGCGCGAUUGAAUGAGCCGAUGUCGGAUUAGCUAGUUGGCGGGGUAAGGGCCCGCCAAGGCGACGAUCCGUAGCUGGUCUGAGAGGAUGAUCAGCCACACUGGAACUGAGACACGGUCCAGACUCCUACGGGAGGCAGCAGUGGGGAAUAUUGGACAAUGGGCGCAAGCCUGAUCCAGCCAUACCGCGUGGGUGAAGAAGGCCUUCGGGUUGUAAAGCCCUUUUGUUGGGAAAGAAAAGCAGCAGGUUAAUACCCCGCUGUUCUGACGGUACCCAAAGAAUAAGCACCGGCUAACUUCGUG